CCUACGGGUGGCAGCAGUGAGGAAUAUUGGUCAAUGGACGAGAGUCUGAACCAGCCAAGUAGCGUGAAGGAUGACUGCCCUAUGGGUUGUAAACUUCUUUUAUAUGGGAAUAAAAUGUUCCACGUGUGGGAUUUUGUAUGUACCAUAUGAAUAAGGAUCGGCUAACUCCGUGCCAGCAGCCGCGGUAAUACGGAGGAUCCGAGCGUUAUCCGGAUUUAUUGGGUUGAAAGGGAGCGUAGGUGGAUUGUUAAGUCAGUUGUGAAAGUUUGCGGCUCAACCAUAAAAUUGCAGUUGAAACUGGCAGUCUUGAGUACAGUAGAGGUGGGCGGAAUUCGUGGUGUAGCGGUGAAAUGCUUAGAUAUCACGAAGAACUCCGAUUGCGAAGGCAGUUCACUGGACUGCAACUGACACUGAGGCUCGAAAGUGUGGGUAUCAAACAGGAUUAGAUACCCUGGUAGUC
Molecule: ribosomal RNA, 460 nt
Filed under: uncultured bacterium
Lineage: Bacteria
Description: partial 16S ribosomal RNA
Rfam family: Bacterial small subunit ribosomal RNA
Source: RNAcentral